UACGUAGGGUGCAAGCGUUGUCCGGAAUUAUUGGGCGUAAAGAGCUCGUAGGCGGUUCGUCGCGUCGGCUGUGAAAACCUGAGGCUCAACCUCAGGCCUGCAGUCGAUACGGGCGGACUUGAGUACUGCAGGGGAGACUGGAAUUCCUGGUGUAGCGGUGAAAUGCGCAGAUAUCAGGAGGAACACCGGUGGCGAAGGCGGUUCUCUGGGCCUUACCUGACGCGUGAGGAGCGAAAGUGUGGGGAGCGAAACAGG
RNAcentral lists this ribosomal RNA (255 nucleotides) under uncultured bacterium. RNAcentral's name for it is "partial 16S ribosomal RNA". It matches the Rfam family "Bacterial small subunit ribosomal RNA", at positions 524 to 776 of the family's 1533-position model. The record is from RNAcentral.